Ostrinia furnacalis (Asian corn borer) is the source of this 524-nucleotide long non-coding RNA. RefSeq lists it as uncharacterized. The transcript has 2 exons. The record is from RefSeq and is a predicted model, not a curated record. Lineage: Eukaryota; Metazoa; Arthropoda; Insecta; Lepidoptera; Crambidae.
GCUUCACCCAAUGAAGAUGCGUUCACGUUAUUUACACAAAUGACAUCCAUGCCAUUUUUAAAAUUCAAAUACAGCUUUGCAGCAUACCUCAGAAAUAUGCUCAGAAAUAAUUAAAACCACAUCCUUACCUCUUCCACAAUAACAAGAUGCAACCAAAAAUGAUUACCAGAAGAAAAGGAAAUGUGUAAAAGCCUUCACAGGAAGGCGGAAGAUGGGUUUUUUCCGCAUGCUAGUGAUCACAUACAUGCUCGUAUACAUAACCCUCUACUUCGGCUUGGUGGGAGCGCUGGUUUACGUCCGAAGCAUUUUUGUGCGGGAUAAUAACCUUUCAGAACUGUAUACACAAGAGUGAUUAAAAGACAAGAAAUAUCAUCCACAUUUAUUUAAUUACAAAAUUAAUCUUACAAAACUUGUAAAGGCACUAAUAUGGACGGCAUUCAUCAGUCAACUUCAAGUUUGUGCUAGUCUAUACAGUCAAACUACGAAACAUGAGAUUCACAAGACAUUAAAUGAGAAACUUAAAA